This 66-nucleotide transfer RNA is filed under the name Globospongicola spinulatus. RNAcentral describes it as "tRNA-Ala". Lineage: Eukaryota; Metazoa; Arthropoda; Malacostraca; Decapoda; Spongicolidae. The record is from RNAcentral.
GGGUUUAUAGUUAAAUACUAACACCUAACUUGCACUUAGAAAACGUCUUUAUUAAGACUAAACCUA